GAUGAACGCUGGCGGCGUGCCUAAUACAUGCAAGUCGAGCGAACAGACGAGGAGCUUGCUCCUCUGACGUUAGCGGCGGACGGGUGAGUAACACGUGGAUAACCUACCUAUAUGACUGGGAUAACUUCGGGAAACCGGAGCUAAUACCGGAUAAUAUAUUGAACCGCAUGGUUCAAUAGUGAAAGACGGUUUUGCUGUCACUUAUAGAUGGAUCCGCGCCGCAUUAGCUAGUUGGUAAGGUAACGGCUUACCAAGGCAACGAUGCGUAGCCGACCUGAGAGGGUGAUCGGCCACACUGGAACUGAGACACGGUCCAGACUCCUACGGGAGGCAGCAGUAGGGAAUCUUCCGCAAUGGGCGAAAGCCUGACGGAGCAACGCCGCGUGAGUGAUGAAGGUCUUCGGAUUGUAAAACUCUGUUAUUAGGGAAGAACAAAUGUGUAAGUAACUAUGCACGUCUUGACGGUACCUAAUCAGAAAGCCACGGCUAACUACGUG
Molecule: ribosomal RNA, 497 nt
Filed under: uncultured bacterium
Lineage: Bacteria
Description: partial 16S ribosomal RNA
Rfam family: Bacterial small subunit ribosomal RNA
Source: RNAcentral